AAUCAACGCUGGCGGCGUGCCUCAGACAUGCAAGUCGAACGCGAAAGUCCCCUUCGGGGGACGAAGUAGAGUGGCGCACGGGUGAGUAACACGUAGGUAAUCUACCUUCGGAUGGGGAAGUAACAACCGGAAACGGUUGCUAAUACCGCAUAAUGCAGCGGCACCUAAUGGUGACAGUUGUUAAAGCGGGGGAUCGAAAGACCCGCGUCUGAAGAGGAGCCUGCGGCGGAUUAGCUAGUUGGAAGGUAAUGGCUUACCAAGGCGACGAUCCGUACGCCGGCCUGAGAGGGCGGUCGGCCACACUGACACUGACAUACGGGUCAGACUCCUACGGGAGGCAGC
RNAcentral lists this ribosomal RNA (342 nucleotides) under uncultured bacterium. Its description in RNAcentral is "bacterial SSU rRNA". It matches the Rfam family "Bacterial small subunit ribosomal RNA", at positions 32 to 352 of the family's 1533-position model. The record is from RNAcentral.